Molecule: ribosomal RNA, 266 nt
Filed under: uncultured Caulobacter sp.
Lineage: Bacteria; Pseudomonadati; Pseudomonadota; Alphaproteobacteria; Caulobacterales; Caulobacteraceae
Description: partial 16S ribosomal RNA
Rfam family: Bacterial small subunit ribosomal RNA
Source: RNAcentral
UGGCUCAGAACGUUCGCUGGCGGCAGGCCUAACACAUGCAAGUCGAACGGAUCCUUCGGGAUUAGUGGCGGACGGGUGAGUAACACGUGGGAACGUGCCCUUUGGUUCGGAACAACUCAGGGAAACUUGAGCUAAUACCGGAUGUGCCCUUCGGGGGAAAGAUUUAUCGCCAUUGGAGCGGCCCGCGUCUGAUUAGCUAGUUGGUGAGGUAAAGGCUCACCAAGGCGAGCAUACAGUAGCUGGUUUGAGAGGAUGAUCAGCCACAU